RNAcentral lists this ribosomal RNA (1271 nucleotides) under Glypthelmins poncedeleoni. RNAcentral describes it as "eukaryotic LSU rRNA". It matches the Rfam family "Eukaryotic large subunit ribosomal RNA", at positions 95 to 959 of the family's 3401-position model. The record is from RNAcentral. Lineage: Eukaryota; Metazoa; Platyhelminthes; Trematoda; Plagiorchiida; Plagiorchiidae.
GAACAGGGAAAAGCCCAGCACCGAAGCCUGUGGCCGUUUGGCUAUUAGGCAAUGUGGUGUUCAGGUCGUUCCGCAGAGGUUCUGCUCCACCCUAAGUCCAGCAAUGAGUACGGUAGUACGGACAUGGCCCACAGAGGGUGAAAGGCCCGUGGGGGUGGAGAUUCGGCAGGACAGAGCCUCUCUGGGUAGACCUUGGAGUCGGGUUGUUUGAGAAUGCAGCCCAAAGUGGGUGGUAAACUCCAUCCAAGGCUAAAUACUAGCACGAGUCCGAUAGCGAACAAGUACCGUGAGGGAAAGUUGAAAAGUACUUUGAAGAUAGAGUAAACAGUGCGUGAAACCGCUCAGAGGUAAACGGGUGGAGUUGAACUGCAAGCUCUGAGAAUUCAGCUGGUGAGUGUGGUUUGAGCUUGGUCAAAUUGGUGAAUUCCGAGGUCUGUGUAGUAGCAGGUCCUUCACCUUCGGGUGGGGAUGCGCGGUGCACUUGUCAAGUGUUGCGCGUCUCGGUUUUUCGGCCAGCUCGUCAGUGCACUUUCUCAGAGUAUUCACCACGACCGGCACCGCUGUCUGGCUGCUUUGGUUAAACCGGUCUUGCUUUGUCCUUGUGGCUUUGCUUGAUCGGGAUGGCAGGUAGCUCGUUGACUUGCUUGUGGCUUGCUGCAGGCGUUCGGUUUUCGAGUGUAAUCAGCUGACCUUAGUGGUUCUGUGCAGUGUGUCGGAGACGGCGGCUUGUAGUGUGUGCACGCGUCUCUGUCUGCUGACUUGUCCGGGUUUGGUUGUUAUGUAGCCUGGUAACCCAGGCCUGAUAAUGGCUCGGAUUCGUUCGGUGGGCAGUUGCGUGUGUGGCACUUUUGCAGGGCCAAUAGUCUGUGGUGUAGUGGUAGACUUUCCACCUGACCCGUCUUGAAACACGGACCAAGGAGAGUAACAUGUACGCGAGUCAUUGGGCGUUACGAAACCCAAAGGCGCAGUGAAAGUAAAUGUCUGACUCGUUCAGACUGAGGUGAGAUCCUGUCGUUUCUCAUGCGCGGUACUUCCAAGCUCCGAGCGGCAGGCGCAUCACCGGCCCGUCCCAUGACAUUUGUUUUCGAGCUUUCCGGUCGGGGCGGAGCAUGAGCGUACAUGUUGAGACCCGAAAGAUGGUGAACUAUGCUUGCGCAGGUUGAAGCCAGAGGAAACUCUGGUGGAGGACCGCAGCGAUUCUGACGUGCAAAUCGAUCGUCAAACGUGAGUAUAGGGGCGAAAGACUAAUCGAACCAUCUAGAGCGGUCCCC